GCUCUAAGUUCUUUCGGUCCGUUUUUAUGAUCCCCGACUUUCCGUAUUAGCUCUAAGUUCUUUCGGUCGGUUUUUAUGAUCCCCGACUUUCCGUAUUAGCUCUAAGUUCUUUCGGUCGGUUUUUAUGAUCUCGACUUUGCGUAUUAGCUCUAAGUUCUUUCGGUCGGUUUUUAUGAUCACUGACUUUGCGUAUUAGCUCUAAGUUCUUUCGGUCCGUUUUUAUGAUCCCCGACUUUGCGUAUUAGCUCAAAGUUCUUUCGGUUGUUUUAAUGAUCCAUGACUUUACGUAUUAGCUCUAAGUUCUUUCGAUCCGUUUUUAUGAUCCCCGACUUUGCGUAUUAGCUCUAAGUUCUUUCGGUCGUUUUUUGAUACCCGAGUUUGCGUAUUAGCUCUAAGUUCUUUCGAUCGGUUUUUAUGAUCCCCGACUUUGCGUAUUAGCUCUAAAUUCUAUCGGUCGUUUUUAUGAUCCCCGACUUUACGUAUUAGCUCUAAGUUCUUUCGGUCCGUUUUUAUGAUCCCCGACUUUGCGUAUUAGCUCUAAGUUCUAUUGGUCCGUUUUUAUGAUCCCCGACUUUGCGUAUUAGCUCUAAGUUCUUUCGGUCGUUUUUAUAAUCCCCGACUUUGCGUAUUAGCUCUAAGUUCUUUCGGUCUGUUUUUAUGAUCCCGACUUUACGUAUUACCUCUAAGUUCUAUCAGUCCAUUUUUAUGAUCCCCGACUUUGCGUAUAAGCUCUAAGUUCUUUCGGUCGUUUUUAUAAUCCCCGACUUUGCGUAUUAGCUCUAAGUUCUUUCGGUCCGUUUUUAUGAUCCCCGACUUUGCGUAUUAGCUCUAUGUUCUUUCGGUCGGUUUUAUGAUCCCGGACUUUGCGUAUUAGCUCUAAGUUCUUUUGGUCGUUUUUAUUAUCCCCGACUUUGCGUAUUAGCUCUAACUUCUUUUGGUCGUUUUUAUGAUCCCCGACUUUGCGUAUUAGCUCUAAGUUCUUUUGGUCGGUUUUAUGAUACCUGACUUCGCGUAUUAGCUCUAAGUUCUUUCGGUCCGUUUU
This 1042-nucleotide long non-coding RNA is filed under the name Capsella rubella. RNAcentral's name for it is "long non-coding RNA (CRUB_LNC000052)". The record is from RNAcentral. Lineage: Eukaryota; Viridiplantae; Streptophyta; Magnoliopsida; Brassicales; Brassicaceae.